UGGGGAAUAUUGCACAAUGGGCGCAAGCCUGAUGCAGCCAUGCCGCGUGUGUGAAGAAGGCCUUCGGGUUGUAAAGCACUUUCAGCGAGGAGGAAGGUGGUGAGCUUAAUACGCUCAUCAAUUGACGUUACUCGCAGAAGAAGCACCGGCUAACUCCGUGCCAGCAGCCGCGGUAAUACGGAGGGUGCAAGCGUUAAUCGGAAUUACUGGGCGUAAAGCGCACGCAGGCGGUUUGUUAAGUCAGAUGUGAAAUCCCCGGGCUCAACCUGGGAACUGCAUUUGAAACUGGCAAGCUAGAGUCUCGUAGAGGGGGGUAGAAUUCCAGGUGUAGCGGUGAAAUGCGUAGAGAUCUGGAGGAAUACCGGUGGCGAAGGCGGCCCCCUGGACGAAGACUGACGCUCAGGUGCGAAAGCGUGGGGCAGCAAACAGGAUUAGAUACCCUGGUAGUCCAGCGCUGUAAACGAUGUCGAUUUUGGAGGUUGUGCCCUUGAGGCGUGGCUCCCGGAGCUAACGCGUUAAAGUCGACCGCCUGGGGAGUACGG
RNAcentral lists this ribosomal RNA (542 nucleotides) under uncultured bacterium. RNAcentral describes it as "partial 16S ribosomal RNA". It matches the Rfam family "Bacterial small subunit ribosomal RNA", at positions 355 to 885 of the family's 1533-position model. The record is from RNAcentral.